This 73-nucleotide transfer RNA is filed under the name Lactobacillaceae bacterium. RNAcentral describes it as "tRNA-Thr". It matches the Rfam family "tRNA". Rfam says of the family: Transfer RNA (tRNA) molecules are approximately 80 nucleotides in length. Their secondary structure includes four short double-helical elements and three loops (D, anti-codon, and T loops). The record is from RNAcentral. Lineage: Bacteria; Bacillati; Bacillota; Bacilli; Lactobacillales; Lactobacillaceae.
GCCGACUUAGCUCAGUUGGUAGAGCACUUCACUAGUAAUGAAGGGGUCGACGGUUCGAAUCCGCCAGUCGGCA